AAUAGCAUUGACUUGACUUGACUUGAUGCAAUGCUGGUUGACAAAGAAGUGUGUGAGUGGAAGGUGAUAGUAUCAACAUUGAGCUUGAUGGAGAUCAAGAUGAAUAUCCAUAUUUUGAUCUUACAUACAAAGGAUAUUUGCACCCAUUUUAUGGGCACCAUUGCCAUAGCCAAGUUGGUGAUUAACCUCCAUGCUCUCUUCGGAGACAUUAUUCUUGAAAAUUAUUAUUAAUAUUAUUAUUUUUUCUUCUCUCUCUCUUUGCUCUUGUUGAUCCUUCUCAAGCUUGGCAUGAGGAUUGAGAUGAGAGACGAGGUCAAGGAGGUCAAAUUGAAGGAUGGGAAUAUGGGAAAUAAUUUAGUAAAAAUUUGGCCUUAUUAUUAUACCCUUUCAACCUCGUCCCUGUUCCCAACCAUCACCUCCACCCCAUCCUUAGCAAUGGUUGGGAAUGGAGAACUCUGGGAACAAGGAUGAGGGUGCAAAUGAUGGUUAAGAUAAAAUGGGACAUUUUAGUAAAAAUUUGGGUCGUUUUAUCAUUCUUUUAUAUUAUUAGGGUUUGCUUCUACUGCGAGGGAGGGAGCUAUGGAGCUACGCGAGCGUGACUUCUUCGCAAUCCUGCAACGGGCAGCUGGAUGUUCCUUCGAUGCGCUUGGGGAAUAGGAGCAGGAGGUGGAGGGAGGAGGAGAAAGAGCACCUGGAGGCUUCGAAGCUCUGGCUAUGCCGGAACUGGUGUCGCAAACGGCCUACACGAAGCAUGCACGAGAUUGGAUCGAAUGGUAAUGGUAGAAGCUGGUUACAGGCCGUCGUUCCUUCGUUCAUUUACUGUGUUGACUCGUUACCAAGUCUUCGGGCUGAGUAUGGCAGUUGGUGUUCGCAAGAGAUACUUGGUGCCGACGUUCCCUGUAUAAGUAUACAAGUAUUCUCCACGAAUAGACGAUUGAAAAUUCGGGGCGAUGAAUGGCGUUGCUUGCUCGAAAGGAAGGAAAUGGAAUGAUCGGUUCAGUGAGGGCUUCUGGAGCGCGCUCUGUUUGCUGCAGGAUCUAGAGGGUUGGAAACUCAUUGGAGGUACCUAUGAAGCCUGAGAGUACUUCAACUGAGUCGGCUGGGUUAUGAAUGCGCUUUUACAGGUGAGGAAUAUGUGAGAAGGCAAAGGAAAUAUUGAUGCAGGAAAAUAAUGUCCAGGUGUCCAUUCUUUUCAUUACGCUUAAAGAAGUUUAUGGUAGAUGAUUAGGUGAUACUGAGAGAAAUAGAUGAGGGUAGUUCUUUUUUUCAUAUGGGAUUUUGCACUUAUCAAACUUAAGCUGUGUUGGUGGCGAUCCCAUGCGCAUAUUGAGAAAGAAGUAGAGUGAGUUGGUUUGCCCUUUUAAAGCACGUAGUUUCUAAUUAAGAUUCAUCAGUCGUUUUGAUGGAUAUCCCUGCUUAAUUAUCACCUUCUGAAUGCGCUUGUCCAUGAGCUGGGAUGAUUUGUUUUGGUGGCGUGCAUGGGUGGUAACAGCCAGCCAGACAAUCUGUGGAGACAUCCAUGGGCUAUUCCAUGAUCUCACCAAUCCUUUUCGGAUUGGAGGAAUGGUUUGUGUUCUGAUUACUUUCUUAUUUUUACGUAUGAGCAGUUUUUGUUUAUUUUCCAGUGGGGAAUAAUCUAAAACUAUUGCCUCACUUCUUGUGGCGACUCAAAUUUGCUGAUAUUUGGUUUGAAUGAAAAAUCACUCAGAACUUUUUUCGUUAAUGACUAUUGCUGUAGUUGAGCCAUGGUCCACAAGUGUGUUCCACUUUUGUGAGGGCUACUUUGAAUGAUAGUAUCAGUUUUUUCCAUCGAUUCAUCUAGCAGCUGCUCAUGGCUUUGAAAGUGCGAUAUCGAGAUCGUGUCACGAUUUUGCGAGGCAACCAUGAGUGUCAGCAGAUCACUCAAUCUAUGGGUUCUACGACGUAUACCUUCGAAAGUGAGUUGUGUUAUAUUGGUAUGUUAUAACUUCGUGGCCAAAGCAAAUGGCAACAAAAGAAACAAAGUGUUGCUGAAGUCUUCAUGGCAACCCGGGCAUUGCGUUGCACAGAAUGGUGUCAUACAUUGACACUGCAUCUCUCUAAUCGGAUUAUUCAAUUUGGGGACACUUAUAGGUUCGGGAACGCCCAAGUAUGGAAGUUCUUUACGGACCUAUUUGAUUAUUUUCCCUUGACCGUUCUGGCCAUUUCGGAGCAGUUCAAUCACAACGAUAAACUCAAGUUUUUUGCACGAGGUCAUCAAUUAGUUGUGAAGGGUUACCAUUGGGCUCAUGGACGUUUUCCAUCUAUAUCGUUUCUUGUGUGACUUCUCAGUCCCCAUUCACGUGGCCGUUGGUUAGCGUUGACUGUUGAGUAAUUAUAAAAUUCUUAUGGUUUAUUUAUCCAGGAACUCAAGGUGGUCACUAUCGUCUGCGCACCUAACUGCUGCUAUCGCUGUGGUUUAGCCUGUCGUCUUGCACACUUCGCUCCACUGUUUCUCAAGAUGUCUUCUUGUUGGUACACGUAUGUGAUACGUUUUUAGCUGGGAAUCACAGUUAAUGCGUUGUACUCAAGAUCUGUAGUAUUCUUGGUAUUUAUUAAUUGCAGGAAAUAUAUCUUCUAUAUUGGAAGUUGACGACAAUGUGUGCAACGCAUUUAUCCAAGUCAGUUUUUUGCUGGAUUAGAAUGGCAGUGCACUGCUCGGACGUUUCAGUAUGAUCUUAGUUGCUGCAUUGGCAUUAGCAUCAGGGUUCAUCAUAGUCAUGUCGGGACGUCGCAUCUACAUCUCACAUGUCCAGAUGUAUUAGAACAGCGCCCUCGAAGCAUUGUAUACCUCGGUGUUUCAAGCUGUGUCUGUGUUCUUAAACACGCGCCGGUCAAUGUGAUGACUGAUUUGGUUGCU
Physcomitrium patens is the source of this 2878-nucleotide non-coding RNA. The record is from RefSeq and is a predicted model, not a curated record. Lineage: Eukaryota; Viridiplantae; Streptophyta; Bryopsida; Funariales; Funariaceae.